AUAAAGCAAGCGCUGAAUCCCUUUUAAGGGAACGGGGGAACCAACUUUUUGGGGUGAAUCCCCGCACUCAGUAGUCUUUACGUCUUCCCUAAAAUCCCAUUAUCCUAAAGGAAAUUUUGGAUAAAGCAAAGGAGCAAGGGAAAAAAACUGAGUGCGGGGUAGGGUUAGCUUUCGACCCGAACCCGGCAGCUAACUUCGUAAGCGUGGAAAGUGAAAGA
Molecule: small RNA, 218 nt
Filed under: Neomoorella glycerini
Lineage: Bacteria; Bacillati; Bacillota; Clostridia; Neomoorellales; Neomoorellaceae
Description: Moorella glycerini c-di-AMP sequence
Rfam family: c-di-AMP riboswitch aptamer (ydaO/yuaA leader)
About the family: This family represents a conserved RNA structure found upstream of the ydaO and yuaA genes in Bacillus subtilis and related genes in other bacteria. The ydaO/yuaA element is thought to act as a genetic "off" switch for the ydaO and yuaA genes in its native state. It is believed that the element may be triggered during osmotic shock leading to activation of ydaO, a predicted amino acid transporter gene, and members of the yuaA-yubG operon which code for KtrA and KtrB K+ transporters.
Source: RNAcentral